GCAAGCCUGAUGCAGCCAUGCCGCGUGUGUGAAGAAGGCCUUCGGGUUGUAAAGCACUUUCAGCGGGGAGGAAGGCGAUAAGGUUAAUAACCUUGGCGAUUGACGUUACCCGCAGAAGAAGCACCGGCUAACUCCGUGCCAGCAGCCGCGGUAAUACGGAGGGUGCAAGCGUUAAUCGGAAUUACUGGGCGUAAAGCGCACGCAGGCGGUCUGUCAAGUCGGAUGUGAAAUCCCCGGGCUCAACCUGGGAACUGCAUUCGAAACUGGCAGGCUAGAGUCUUGUAGAGGGGGGUAGAAUUCCAGGUGUAGCGGUGAAAU
Molecule: ribosomal RNA, 318 nt
Filed under: Klebsiella pneumoniae
Lineage: Bacteria; Pseudomonadati; Pseudomonadota; Gammaproteobacteria; Enterobacterales; Enterobacteriaceae
Description: bacterial SSU rRNA
Rfam family: Bacterial small subunit ribosomal RNA
Source: RNAcentral